This 272-nucleotide long non-coding RNA is filed under the name Ananas comosus (pineapple). RNAcentral describes it as "long non-coding RNA (ACOM_LNC043098)". Lineage: Eukaryota; Viridiplantae; Streptophyta; Magnoliopsida; Poales; Bromeliaceae. The record is from RNAcentral.
AAGAAUAAAGAAUAAAGAACGGCUAAUGUUAAAGAAUAGAAAAUGCUAAAAAAUAGCUAAUAAUGUAAAGAAUGAUUAGCGAUAAAGAAUGGCUAAUAGUAAAGAAUGGCUAACAGUAAAGAAUAGCUAAGAAUAAAGAGUAGAAUCAGUUAAUCUACUUGUAUGAGUUGCAUGAUUUGCAUAUUGCAUAUUGUGAGGCAUGAACAUGAUAAAUGUUAGUUGCAUAAAUUAUAUAUAUCUGUGGAUAUUCGUUGGACUAACAUGUUUGGAGU